RNAcentral lists this ribosomal RNA (269 nucleotides) under uncultured prokaryote. Its description in RNAcentral is "partial 16S ribosomal RNA". It matches the Rfam family "Bacterial small subunit ribosomal RNA", at positions 524 to 792 of the family's 1533-position model. The record is from RNAcentral.
UACGAGGGGGGCGAGCGUUGUCCGGAUUCAUUGGGUGUAAAGGGCUCGUAGGCGGAUCGAUCAGUCGGGACUUAAAUCCCACGGCUUAACCGUGGAGCUGGUCUCGAUACUUACGGUCUUGAGUUCGGUAGAGGAAGGCGGAAUUCCUGGUGUAGCGGUGAAAUGCGUAGAUAUCAGGAAGAACACCAAAGGCGAAGGCAGCCUUCUAGGCCGAAACUGACGCUGAGGAGCGAAAGCGUGGGGAGCGAACAGGAUUAGAUACCCUCGUA